Carassius carassius (crucian carp) is the source of this 1559-nucleotide long non-coding RNA. RefSeq lists it as uncharacterized. The transcript has 2 exons. The record is from RefSeq and is a predicted model, not a curated record. NCBI's taxonomy places the organism in Eukaryota, Metazoa, Chordata, Actinopteri, Cypriniformes, Cyprinidae.
CAGAGUAAACGUGAGCCCUUUUGAAAUUCUCUUUGGCAAACCACCAUUUGUGGGUGAAAGCUGCUCAGGAGAAGGUUGCUGAAACACCGUUGCAUAACCUGAAACCAGGAGAUUUCGUGGUGGUACGAGACCUGAGGAGAAAGAGCUGGAAGGCGAAAAGGUGGCUGGGACCAUUCCAGGUGCUUCUGACCACUCACACGGCUGUGAAGGUAGCAGAGAGAGCAACAUGGAUCCAGGCCAGCCACUGCAGAAAGGUCCCACAGAAAGGAGUGGAGACACACACGUCAACAAGGCCAGAAUCCAGCCUAAACAUCAAGCGUCCUUAUCAGCGGGAAGAGCAAGGUUAAGACUGAAAAACAGCAUCGAAGUAGUCUGCGCACAAGUGAAAAGAUAAAUAUGAGCAUCAUAGUUGGGUACAUCACGUUGUUUUAAUAUUCCAGACUACAGUGACAACAUUACCAAUAUCAUCACCCAGAUGAGAAUGGCCGUAAAAGAGCCUAAGCGUACACAUAAUGCUGCUAAAUGAUUUUUGCUGCUAUAAUGUCUACCAUGUAUUUUUUAGUUGUAUAUCCAGCUCAGUACAGAGACUGGUGAAGUCUAGAAUUUCACAUCAAAUGGUUCAAAUGACUGUGUACAAUGAAGACGUUAUCAUGGAUUUUAGUAGAGAGAAAACUAUUGAUGAAGGGACAAACAGUAGUGGAAGCUAAAGUGAAAUGUGUUAAAUGUAUGAGAUUUAUGAUAUUUUUUCUUUGAAGUAAGUAAUGUUCAGGCCUAUCUGAAUCUAUACUGUUUGUUGCUUGAAUAGGGUCUGUCCCCAUACAACAAGCCUUAGCAUAUUUUCUAACUUCUUUUACAAACUUAAGAGGGUGAUCAUUUAUGAGAAAAUCAGAGAUGAAGAGUAUAAAUGUGAUGAUAUGCCUUAAGUUGCUUUAUUUUGAAUUAUGUUUGUAUUCCCGAGUGUGAAUUUUUUAUUUUGAAUUGUGUUUGUAUCUGUGAGGUGACUGAGGGUCUGACUUAUGUCAGAAACGCAGUAACAGUGUUUUACUUGUUUAGCCCGGCGCCCAGAGCAAACAUAAUGUUAAGUGUGUAGUGAAAAUAUAACCAGUAGUAAUGAAUUUUUAUGUUUUAGUGAUCAAUGAAUGAUAAAAAGGGGGAAAUUGUGGUGGAAAAAUUCAUUGAACAUUGCUUCUGUAUGCCUAUAUAUGCAUGUGUUUUCUUAGAAUUGCUGUGUGGUUCAGAAGGGCGACACCUGAGGGGGAAACAGAUGUCUGAGAAUGACCUUAGAGGUUCAUUGGGCCAUAUAGUGGGGGGGGACAAUGCCUGAGGAUGACCUGAGGGGGUCACCUAAGUCCUAAAUGUGUGAGAAACAAACUACAGAGUGUGUUUUAUGUUAUCCAUGGAAAGUUACAGCUGCUAAGACUUUGUAACCUUGAAGCAGCAAAGGGAUAUAAGGUGGAGGACUGCCCUCUUCCUGGGUCGGAUUCACUCUGCAGGAACUCAGUGUUGCUGUAUGACUGUCUGACCUUAUUUGCAAGGAAUAAAAGCUUUCUUUUUAAUUA